AUACUUACUUGGUGUCGAGGUCAACCGUGAUCAGCGCGGCGGUUCCUCCAGGAUGAGACUUUCCCAUUGCACACUGGGGACGGUUGAACCCUGCGAGUAUCCCUUAUGCGGAUAUCUCGGACACGUAAUUUUUGGUAGCGGGACUGCGUUCGCGCCGUCCCUC
Molecule: non-coding RNA, 163 nt
Organism: Acyrthosiphon pisum (pea aphid)
Lineage: Eukaryota; Metazoa; Arthropoda; Insecta; Hemiptera; Aphididae
Source: Rfam